RNAcentral lists this ribosomal RNA (391 nucleotides) under uncultured bacterium. RNAcentral describes it as "bacterial SSU rRNA". It matches the Rfam family "Bacterial small subunit ribosomal RNA", at positions 28 to 420 of the family's 1533-position model. The record is from RNAcentral.
GACGAACGCUGGCGGCGUGCUUAACACAUGCAAGUCGAGCGGUAAGGCCCUUUCGGGGGUACACGAGCGGCGAACGGGCGAGUAACACGUGGGUGACCUGCCCUCAGCUCUGGGAUAAGCCUGGGAAAACCGGGUCUAAUACUGGAUAUGACUCCAUGACGCAUGUUGUGGGGUGGAAAGCCUUGUGCGGCUGAGGAUGGGCCCGCGGCCUAUCAGCUUGUUGGUGGGGUGAGGCCUACCAAGGCGACGACGGGUAGCCGGCCUGAGAGGGCGACCGGCCACACUGGGACUGAGACACGGCCCAGACUCCUACGGGAGGCAGCAGUGGGGAAUCUUGCGCAAUGGGCGAAAGCCUGACGCAGCGACGCCGCGUGAGGGAUGACGGCCUCGG